This is a small nuclear RNA of Pogoniulus pusillus (Red-fronted tinkerbird), 166 nucleotides long. RefSeq annotates it as U1 spliceosomal RNA. NCBI's taxonomy places the organism in Eukaryota, Metazoa, Chordata, Aves, Piciformes, Lybiidae. The record is from RefSeq and is a predicted model, not a curated record. The transcript has a single exon.
AUCCUUACCUGGUAGAGGAGACAUCAUGACCAGGAAUGUGUUUUUUUCCAAGGUUGAGGCUCACCUCCUAUAUUUCAGGUGUACUGACCACUGUGAGGUGCCCAAAUGUGGGAAACUGGACUGUGUAAUUUGUGGUAAUGGGAGACUGCAUCCUGGCAUUCUCCCC